Long non-coding RNA from Nicrophorus vespilloides, 1263 nucleotides. RefSeq lists it as uncharacterized. The transcript is spliced from 2 exons. The record is from RefSeq and is a predicted model, not a curated record. NCBI's taxonomy places the organism in Eukaryota, Metazoa, Arthropoda, Insecta, Coleoptera, Silphidae.
AAUGAGACUUUUGAAGUUCACAGAUAUUUUCAUAUUUCGUUGUUAAAAAUACCAUUCCUAAGGUCACUGCUAUUCUAUAACCACACACACACACAAACACACAAAGUGACUCUUACAAAAAUGGUUUCAGUGAAAUGUCAAGAUUUGUUUUCUAAUAAAACUUUUAAUAUAUAGAAAUAAUUUCCAAAUGUCAAAUAUUAAAUGUCAAAAUUUUGAUUUGUUUUACAACAGAUUGACGUGUGUCACCGUUGUAAAUUUUGGGGGAAAUUGUUUUGUCACUGUUGUUCAACCUGUUUAUGGUUAUGUGCGACGAUUUGUGUUCGGUUGUUUGGGCGUGGAGAUGGAAACCUUUUCAGAUGAGGCGACUCUUCGACUUCUUCGAUAUUCGAAUACCAAUAGAAAUCAAUCGGUUCUGUUCGGUGUGCGGAGACAGAAAAGAAAAUAAAAUAUGAAUACUUUUGCACUACUGAUUCACCUCUCUCAUCGUCGCCGCUUCGAUUCUAAUUCGGUCCUAUUCGCACCGUUUGCGUGGGCGUAACAACACAACUCAUCUUCCGAAACCGUAACACGCGCACAUAUCUCAUCUCAUCUCACCGUUGGAAACAUAAUACACCUCGAACGGAGGAAGAUGGAAGACGCGGAAAGAAGUAGAAGGACCAAUUAAAAACGAUGCUCGUCGUUGCAUCACUUUCGACACACUUUCCUGGAAAAGAAAACAAAUUCUGGAAAUAGCCUGGAUCUCAACCCGAUCCUCCACCCAGAUUAUCUCCCCGGCGUUACAUAGAAACCGUUUCCAUGCGACACAUUCGUUUUGUUGUUUGCUUCAUCUGUUUUUUGUUGUUGUUGUUGUUUACUUGUUGCUACUGUUGUUGCCGGUUGUGCAGAAGUGCAACAAACACAGCAGUUGGCAAGCGUCGAGGUCCGACCUGCAUUUCCCAAAUAACUCGCAAAAACGGACACGAUUAUUUCUUAUUAAAUAAUCCCGCGUUCGCGUCCAAAUUUAAAGGACGCGUUACGUAAUUGCCGGAUUUACGAUCGCCGACCAGUGUAAACGUCCGGCAAAGAUAACAUUUCAUCCAGAAUCCCAAAUCCAAACGCUACUUAUAACUCGUAGUUAUGACAACCGGAUUUUCUCUUGUUUUUAAUGCAAACGUCAACUCUCCUAAUUCAUCUUAAACGAUCCACAACGCAUCACUUGUAGCUAUGACAACACACUUUGUAAAUCGAUUCAGAAUCUGUUCAAAAGUACCAUUUUUUUAUUUA